Molecule: ribosomal RNA, 1346 nt
Filed under: uncultured bacterium
Lineage: Bacteria
Description: partial 16S ribosomal RNA
Rfam family: Bacterial small subunit ribosomal RNA
Source: RNAcentral
GACGAACGCUUGCGGCGUGCUUAACACAUGCAAGUCGAACGGAAAGGCCCUGCUUUUGUGGGGUGCUCGAGUGGCGAACGGGUGAGUAACACGUGAGUAACCUGCCCUUGACUUUGGGAUAACUUCAGGAAACUGGGGCUAAUACCGGAUAGGAGCUCCUGCUGCAUGGUGGGGGUUGGAAAGUUUCGGCGGUUGGGGAUGGACUCGCGGCUUAUCAGCUUGUUGGUGGGGUAGUGGCUUACCAAGGCUUUGACGGGUAGCCGGCCUGAGAGGGUGACCGGCCACAUUGGGACUGAGAUACGGCCCAGACUCCUACGGGAGGCAGCAGUGGGGAAUAUUGCACAAUGGGCGGAAGCCUGAUGCAGCAACGCCGCGUGCGGGAUGACGGCCUUCGGGUUGUAAACCGCUUUCGCCUGUGACGAAGCGUGAGUGACGGUAAUGGGUAAAGAAGCACCGGCUAACUACGUGCCAGCAGCCGCGGUGAUACGUAGGGUGCGAGCGUUGUCCGGAUUUAUUGGGCGUAAAGGGCUCGUAGGUGGUUGAUCGCGUCGGAAGUGUAAUCUCGGGGCUUAACCCUGAGCGUGCUUUCGAUACGGGUUGACUUGAGGAAGGUAGGGGAGAAUGGAAUUCCUGGUGGAGCGGUGGAAUGCGCAGAUAUCAGGAGGAACACCAGUGGCGAAGGCGGUUCUCUGGGCCUUUCCUGACGCUGAGGAGCGAAAGCGUGGGGAGCGAACAGGCUUAGAUACCCUGGUAGUCCACGCUGUAAACGGUGGGUACUAGGUGUGGGGUCCAUUCCACGGGUUCCGUGCCGUAGCUAACGCUUUAAGUACCCCGCCUGGGGAGUACGGCCGCAAGGCUAAAACUCAAAGGAAUUGACGGGGCCCCGCACAAGCGGCGGAGCAUGCGGAUUAAUUCGAUGCAACGCGUAGAACCUUACCUGGGUUUGACAUGGAUCGGGAGUGCUCAGAGAUGGGUGUGCCUCUUUUGGGGUCGGUUCACAGGUGGUGCAUGGCUGUCGUCAGCUCGUGUCGUGAGAUGUUGGGUUAAGUCCCGCAACGGGCGCAACCCUUGUUCACUGUUGCCAGCACGUUAUGGUGGGGACUCAGUGGAGACCGCCGGGGUCAACUCGGAGGAAGGUGGGGAUGACGUCAAGUCAUCAUGCCCCUUAUGUCCAGGGCUUCACGCAUGCUACAAUGGCUGGUACAGAGAGUGGCGAGCCUGUGAGGGUGAGCGAAUCUCGGAAAGCCGGUCUCAGUUCGGAUUGGGGUCUGCAACUCGACCUCAUGAAGUCGGAGUCGCUAGUAAUCGCAGAUCAGCAACGCUGCGGUGAAUACGUUCCCGGGGCU